RNAcentral lists this long non-coding RNA (206 nucleotides) under Eucalyptus grandis. RNAcentral's name for it is "long non-coding RNA (EGRA_LNC003532)". The record is from RNAcentral. Lineage: Eukaryota; Viridiplantae; Streptophyta; Magnoliopsida; Myrtales; Myrtaceae.
CGGUGGACAAGGACUCUUGGCAGCGGCAGAGUUUCUCCAGCUUGGCCUCCUCCUUCUUGGCGGCCUUCUUGCUCACCUUGGGUUGUUGCUCCAGCGGCGGGGGCUUCCGCUUCCGAUGACAUGGCGGCGAUCAGUAAGUUCCGAGUGAGCAAGAGGACGGAGAGAUCGGCGACAACGUGGGAGGGAAGAGGUGUUGAGGUCGCGAG